AUAAUAUAUAUUAUAUAAAGAAAAGUCAUAAAUAAUAAUAAUAUAUUAUUAUUUAAUUAAAUAAUAAUAAUAUAUUUAAAUAAAUAAUAUAAAUAAUUAAAUUGAAAUAUAUAUUUAUUUUAAUAAAAUAUUAUAUAUUAAUAAUAUUUUAAAUAUAAUUAAUUAAUAUAAUUAAUUAUAUUAUAGUUAUAUAAUAUACAUAAAUAAGCUUAUAUAUAGUAUAUAGU
RNAcentral lists this non-coding RNA (227 nucleotides) under Nakaseomyces glabratus. Lineage: Eukaryota; Fungi; Ascomycota; Saccharomycetes; Saccharomycetales; Saccharomycetaceae. RNAcentral also lists the same sequence under 1 other name. The record is from RNAcentral.